CUUCCUGUAUACGUGAGAAUUUUGUGUACAUCAUCAUGAUGCCCAGCCCAAGUUUUGAAGUAGUCGGACGUAGCCGUUAAGCCACUUCGGAGGUCAACAUCAACCCAGAAGAACAUUUGUUUUGUCUGUUUCAAAACACCAGAUACAUACACGCGGUCUUAAUUUACCAUAUAAGACAUUUUAUUUUGCUAUCAGUUGAGUAUUUGUGAGAAGAAGAGUUAAGAACGCAUCACACGACGAACGCGAAAGUCGUUUUUUUAUAACAUCCAAAACUUAUUGUAAGAAUGCCAGCAGACGACAAAGAAGUUAGUCUUGGAGACAGGUGGAACCCGGCGUACAUUUCCUUACAUAAAAUCAAUUUCUGAGGUCACGCUAUGGUACCUGUACAAUAUGUUUAUAGUUACGUUGUUUUGAUAUGUUUGUUGGAUAUAUAUCCGGUGCCAGUGGUCAAAGCUAGCGACAAUUCUAUCAAAAUGUGCAAUUCGACUAAAAUAGAUCAAAUAAAUUGCGCAAGGAAUUCCUCCGUUUCGCAAAAUGAUACAAAA
Xenia sp. Carnegie-2017 is the source of this 545-nucleotide long non-coding RNA. RefSeq lists it as uncharacterized. Lineage: Eukaryota; Metazoa; Cnidaria; Anthozoa; Malacalcyonacea; Xeniidae. The transcript has 2 exons. The record is from RefSeq and is a predicted model, not a curated record.